This 862-nucleotide ribosomal RNA is filed under the name uncultured bacterium. RNAcentral describes it as "bacterial SSU rRNA". It matches the Rfam family "Bacterial small subunit ribosomal RNA", at positions 51 to 904 of the family's 1533-position model. The record is from RNAcentral.
ACACACGCAAGUCGAGGGGCAGCAUUUUAGUUUGCUUGCAAACUGAAGAUGGCGACCGGCGCACGGGUGAGUAACACGUAUCCAACCUGCCGAUAACUCCGGGAUAGCCUUUCGAAAGAAAGAUUAAUACCGGAUGGCAUACGAAUAUCGCAUGAUAUUUUUAUUAAAGAAUUUCGGUUAUCGAUGGGGAUGCGUUCCAUUAGUUUGUUGGCGGGGUAACGGCCCACCAAGACUACGAUGGAUAGGGGUUCUGAGAGGAAGGUCCCCCACAUUGGAACUGAGACACGGUCCAAACUCCUACGGGAGGCAGCAGUGAGGAAUAUUGGUCAAUGGGCGAGAGCCUGAACCAGCCAAGUAGCGUGAAGGAUGAAGGCUCUAUGGGUCGUAAACUUCUUUUAUAUGGGAAUAAAGUUUUCCACGUGUGGAAUUUUGUAUGUACCAUAUGAAUAAGGAUCGGCUAACUCCGUGCCAGCAGCCGCGGUAAUACGGAGGAUCCGAGCGUUAUCCGGAUUUAUUGGGUUUAAAGGGAGCGUAGGUGGAUUGUUAAGUCAGUUGUGAAAGUUUGCGGCUCAACCGUAAAAUUGCAGUUGAAACUGGGAGUCUUGAGUACAGUAGAGGUGGGCGGAAUUCGUGGUGUAGCGGUGAAAUGCUUAGAUAUCACGAAGAACUCCGAUUGCGAAGGCAGCUCACUAGACUGUCACUGACACUGAUGCUCGAAAGUGUGGGUAUCAAACAGGAUUAGAUACCCUGGUAGUCCACACAGUAAACGAUGAAUACUCGCUGUUUGCGAUAUACAGUAAGCGGCCAAGCGAAAGCAUUAAGUAUUCCACCUGGGGAGUACGCCGGCAACGGUGAAACUCAA